AGAGUUUGAUCCUGGCUCAGAUUGAACGCUGGCGGCGUGCUUAACACAUGCAAGUCGAGCGGUAACGCGGGAGCAAUCCUGGCGACGAGCGGCGAACGGGUGAGUAAUGCUUCGGAAUCUGCCCAGUAGUGGGGAAUAACCAAUCGAAAGGUUGGCUAAUACCGCAUACGUCCUGAGGGAGAAAGCGGGGGAUCGUAAGA
This 200-nucleotide ribosomal RNA is filed under the name uncultured bacterium. Its description in RNAcentral is "partial 16S ribosomal RNA". It matches the Rfam family "Bacterial small subunit ribosomal RNA", at positions 8 to 211 of the family's 1533-position model. The record is from RNAcentral.